Molecule: long non-coding RNA, 661 nt
Filed under: Ananas comosus (pineapple)
Lineage: Eukaryota; Viridiplantae; Streptophyta; Magnoliopsida; Poales; Bromeliaceae
Description: long non-coding RNA (ACOM_LNC022695)
Source: RNAcentral
AAAAUGAUAAUAGUAAUUUAGGUAAGUGGUUCAAUCUGGUGUUUCUUAAGGUGAAGCAUCUUAGUUAAAUGUCACUACAACAAAAACGGUCUAUAGCGACACUUUUAAAUAUCGGUAUAAGUCAAAAAAGGUACCGCUGGCUAAAUUACCGAUACUUUUAAAAAGUGUUGCUAUAUGUGGGGUCGCUAGGUAAAUAGUGACAGUUAAAGAGUGUCGCUAUAAUCUAAAAAAGUGCUGCUAAUUUAACAAUAUUUAUUUAAGCAUCUAGCAACAGCCGGAAUUCUACCUCGUUGGCUGCGGUGGCGGAGGAGGACGAGAGGAAAGGAUUUUCGUCUAGAAUUUCAGUCGAUUGUGUGAGGGGAGAAGGGAAAAUUGUAAUCGAUUUUUCUUUUCUUUUUCUUUUCUUUUUCUCUUCUGUUUGUAAUCGGGCCGAAUGAGCUGGGUGAGGUGGGUUGAGUAGAGUACCUUUUUAUUUUUGGUUGGAUUGGACUUUAUAUUUAGGCAUUAAUAGAUUUUUUUUAAAGUUUCGACAUAAAUGUAACACUUACACAAAAGUGUUCCAAAUAUGUGUUCCUAUAACAUAAUUCUGUUGUAGUGUGUCUAGAUCCUGUAGAAAUUACAUUAGCUAUUUCUAGACUAAGGGACAAGUUCCCUACUUAAU